UGCUCGUUGGUCUAGGGGUUGAUUCUCGGUUGGGUGUGAGAGGUCCCGGGUUCAAAUCCGGAUGAGCUC
This is a non-coding RNA of Ameiurus melas (black bullhead), 69 nucleotides long. Lineage: Eukaryota; Metazoa; Chordata; Actinopteri; Siluriformes; Ictaluridae. The record is from the annotation of a GenBank genome assembly.